This 253-nucleotide ribosomal RNA is filed under the name uncultured bacterium. RNAcentral's name for it is "partial 16S ribosomal RNA". It matches the Rfam family "Bacterial small subunit ribosomal RNA", at positions 524 to 776 of the family's 1533-position model. The record is from RNAcentral.
UACGUAGGGUGCAAGCGUUGUCCGGAAUUAUUGGGCGUAAAGAGCUCGUAGGCGGUUUGUCGCGUCGAAUGUGAAAACCCGGGGCUCAACCCCGGGCCUGCAUUCGAUACGGGCAGACUAGAGUUCGGUAGGGGAGUCUGGAAUUCCUGGUGUAGCGGUGAAAUGCGCAGAUAUCAGGAAGAACACCCGUGGCUAAGGCGGUUCUCUAGUACGGUACUGACGCCGAGACGCGAAAGCGUGGGGAGCGAACAGG